GACGAACGCUGGCGGCGUGCUUAACACAUGCAAGUCGAACGGAAAGGCCCUGCUUUUGUGGGGUGCUCGAGUGGCGAACGGGUGAGUAACACGUGAGUAACCUGCCCUUGACUUUGGGAUAACUUCAGGAAACUGGGGCUAAUACCGGAUAGGAGCUCCUGCUGCAUGGUGGGGGUUGGAAAGUUUCGGCGGUUGGGGAUGGACUCGCGGCUUAUCAGCUUGUUGGUGGGGUAGUGGCUUACCAAGGCUUUGACGGGUAGCCGGCCUGAGAGGGUGACCGGGCACAUUGGGACUGAGAUACGGCCCAGAAUCCUAAGGGGGGCAGGAGUGGGGAAUAUUGCACAAUGGGCGGAAGCCUGAUGCAGCAACGCCGCGUGCGGGAUGACGGCCUUCGGGUUGUAAACCGCUUUCGCCUGUGACGAAGCGUGAGUGACGGUAAUGGGUAAAGAAGCACCGGCUAACUACGUG
Molecule: ribosomal RNA, 468 nt
Filed under: uncultured bacterium
Lineage: Bacteria
Description: partial 16S ribosomal RNA
Rfam family: Bacterial small subunit ribosomal RNA
Source: RNAcentral